GAUGACAUGCCACCUAACCCGGGGGAUGACAGAUUAGAUAAGUGAAUGCUGAUACCUCAUAGCUGCUAUUAGCAUGGUUAGAUUCUGUACGCUUAAUAGGAGCUAUCCACUUCGGGAGGGGCCUGCGUCCCAUCAGCUAGUUGGUAAGGUAACGGCUUACCAAGGCGAUAAUGGGUAGGUGAUCUGAGAGGAUGAUCCCCCACACUGGCACUGACACACGGGCCAGACUCCUACGGGAGGCAGCAGUAAGGAAUAUUGCACAAUGGGCGAAAGCCUGAUGCAGCAACGCCGCGUGGGCGAAGAAGGCCUGUCGGGUUGUAAAGCCCUUUUAUGGAGGAAGAGGAAGGACGGGACUCCCAGGAAUAAGUAUCGGCUAACGACGUGCCAGCAGCCGCGGUAA
RNAcentral lists this ribosomal RNA (400 nucleotides) under uncultured bacterium. RNAcentral's name for it is "bacterial SSU rRNA". It matches the Rfam family "Bacterial small subunit ribosomal RNA", at positions 114 to 523 of the family's 1533-position model. The record is from RNAcentral.